UACGAAGGGGGCUAGCGUUGUUCGGAAUUACUGGGCGUAAAGGGCGCGUAGGCGGUGUGUCAAGUCAGGCGUGAAAGCCCCGGGCUCAACCUGGGAACAGCGCUUGAGACUGGCACGCUCGAGUUCGGGAGAGGAUGGUGGAAUUCCCAGUGUAGAGGUGAAAUUCGUAGAUAUUGGGAAGAACACCGAUGGCGAAGGCAGCCAUCUGGACCGACACUGACGCUGAGGCGCGAAAGCUAGGGGAGCAAACAGG
Molecule: ribosomal RNA, 253 nt
Filed under: uncultured bacterium
Lineage: Bacteria
Description: partial 16S ribosomal RNA
Rfam family: Bacterial small subunit ribosomal RNA
Source: RNAcentral